AUCACUUGAGGAUCUUGUUAAAUUACAGAUUCUGAUUCAGGAGCUCUGGGCUGGAGCCUGAGAUUCUGCUUUUCUAACAAGCUCCCAAGUGAUGCCCA
RNAcentral lists this microRNA precursor (98 nucleotides) under Loxodonta africana (African savanna elephant). RNAcentral describes it as "mir-544 microRNA precursor family". It matches the Rfam family "mir-544 microRNA precursor family". Lineage: Eukaryota; Metazoa; Chordata; Mammalia; Proboscidea; Elephantidae. The record is from Rfam by way of RNAcentral.